CACCAACAUCCACAUUAUUUGAGUUUCUCACAGCUGUACUGAUCCUAUUCAAAUUCUGUUCUUCUGUCUAACACAAUCGUCUUUGGCAGUGUCACCAUCACAGUAUUCCAAAACAGAGUAUUUCACACUGUGCUGGAGACACCAGCAGGAACUUGACUGAAAAUUUCGGAAUUGCCUAUGUUUUUUUCUUCAAACUUUGCCCGUCCAAUUGGUGAUCUGCUAAACGUGUAUUGAGAAUAUUCAAAUCAGGCACAGGAUAAAUACUAGAUCAGCAGUCGCAGAAGAGAUCGUGCAGAUCUCUAGGCUUGGUGAGUCUUCCUUUCCAUAUUUUCUACUAACUUUAGAGGUCCAGGGGUUCUAUUGUGGUAUUUAGAUAAACAAUAAUUAUGUAUUUCAUAGCUUGAAACGCUGCAACCUUCUCACCUUGCGUUUGGCAUUCUAUAAGCUAUUUCACUAUUGAAAUCUCCAAUAUAACUGAUAUCUAGACCUACUGUAUUAUUCACUAAAUCUGAGAUUUACUUCAAUGUUUCUGUUCUUUUUUAUUUCAGUACGUAUCAUUUCCAAAAUAUCAAGCUUAAACUAUUGAAAUGGGUCUCCGUCUGCUUGUUCUGUCUGUCCUCUUAAGGACCCUGGCUACAGCUGAGCCUCUCCAGUACCAAUGCGAGUGUCACUUUCGAAUUCUAGAUGGGCAGCUCCGCAAACCCUUUCUCAUCCUUCCGGGCCCUGUGGUAGAGACCAGCGGAGGGCCGUGUGAUGCAGAGUUGAUCUGCAAGGUCCCCUGUCAGUCUAUCCUUGCUGGGUACCAGGUGACUCAUGACGUAGCAGAGCAAGCCUGUGCCACAGCAUCUCCUCCUCCUCUGGGCAACUGGGAGUUUGCGAAGUUCAGUAUGGUGAAGGACAAUGUCUGCACGUCUCAGGUGUUGGAUCCCAUUCUGAUGACAUUCACCUGUGGAGACGGGAAAGUAGUAAAGCAUACUCCUGUGACCCUGGACAACUUUAUUCUGCAUGGUGCAACAAGACUUCUGCUUGAAAAUGAAAACUGAGCGUUUCAUUUGGAACCUUUCUGAAAAAGAAAUAAAACAACUUUUGAUUGCACCUUCAAUAAUUAAACACAAUAAAGAAAAAUCAAUAAAAUCCCAAAAGUGUUGGUUGUGGUAUGAAAAUUUCUUGUCUCUUCCUCAUUGUACAAAUAAUAUCCACAGACAAGGUACUUAUCUCCUUAUCUGGAGAUAAGGCACAGAUGAAGUUUUACUUAAUAAAACAUUUAAUAAUAAUUCCAUUAGAAAACUGCUGUCAUGGUUGACAUCCCUCCUCUAGAGGGCGCUCCACAACUCUCUUGUCAUUAGAUCCGUG
RNAcentral lists this long non-coding RNA (1353 nucleotides) under Lepisosteus oculatus (spotted gar). RNAcentral describes it as "lncRNA (ENSLOCG00000022354.1)". Lineage: Eukaryota; Metazoa; Chordata; Actinopteri; Semionotiformes; Lepisosteidae. The record is from RNAcentral.